AGUAGCACGUGAGCACGGGAGCCUGUGGGGCAAGCAAGGGAGCGUGGGGGGCCCGGGUGUCUCUCGAUGGUGACCCCGCUGGCCCUGCAGAGUGUCCGAGUUCCUCAUGGGUGAAGUGGACAGCAGCACCCUCCUAGCAGUGCCUCCCGGGGACUCAAGCCAGUCCAUGGAAAGCCUGUAUGGAUCGGGCAGUGAGGGCACCCCUCCCAGCCUGGAUGACUGUGACGCCGGCUGCCUGCCUGCCGAGGAGGUGGACGUGCUGCUGCAGCGCUGUGAGGGGGGCGUGGAUGCCGCACUGCUGUAUGCCAAGAACAUGGCCAAGUACAUGAAGGACCUCAUCAGCUACCUGGAGAAGCGGACGACGCUGGAGAUGGAGUUUGCCAAGGGCCUGCAGAAGAUGGCUCACAACUGCAGACAGAGCGUCACGCAGGAGCCCCACAUGCCGCUCCUGUCUAUCUACUCGCUGGCCCUGGAGCAGGACCUGGAGUUCGGCCACGGCAUGGUGCAGGCGGUGGGCACUUUGCAGACCCAGACCUUCAUGCAG
This 544-nucleotide small RNA is filed under the name Pongo abelii (Sumatran orangutan). Its description in RNAcentral is "retained intron". The record is from RNAcentral. Lineage: Eukaryota; Metazoa; Chordata; Mammalia; Primates; Hominidae.